GGUUGCGAUCAUACCAGCACUAAUGCACCAGAUCCCAUCAGAACUUCGCAGUUAAGCGUGCUUGGGCGAGAGUAGUACUAGGAUGGGUGACCCCCUGGGAAGUCCUCGUGUUGCAACCC
RNAcentral lists this ribosomal RNA (119 nucleotides) under Helianthus annuus (common sunflower). Lineage: Eukaryota; Viridiplantae; Streptophyta; Magnoliopsida; Asterales; Asteraceae. The record is from RNAcentral.